Molecule: long non-coding RNA, 1084 nt
Organism: Cornus florida
Lineage: Eukaryota; Viridiplantae; Streptophyta; Magnoliopsida; Cornales; Cornaceae
Exons: 4
Source: RefSeq, a predicted model, not a curated record
UCAUUGCAGUUUGCCCUUUAAAAUUUCGCACCAGAACCCAAAAAGAAAAAAACAAAAACAGAGAACACUCUAGCCCUAAUUCCAGCCAAACGUCUACUAUGUCUGCAAUUCACGGUCAUUUCUCUCACCCCGCCGACCUACGAUCGUCGUCACCACCGCUUUGGCAAGACCGCAAGUAUGUUAUACACUACAUUUAGCUUUAAGACGCUAAGGGAGGAAUAGUUGCAUGGCCUGCCAAGUUUGUUAGAAGAACUUAGUCGUACUUGUUUUCAGAGCUGAGAGCUUAGAGGAAAGUUGCAGUUGUAUGAUUGUCUCGAUGUAUCGACAGAAGUUUUCAACCUCAACUUACUUUCUAGCAUUUGUCAAAUAUAAUCUGAUUCUCUUCUGCCUGUAUCUUUCUGAGAACCAAAAUUUGAAUUGGAAAUUGGGUUUACCUGAGCUGCUGGAUAAACUUCAGGGACGGCGACCGUGGCCGGAAAAGAUGAAGAUGCGCCUACAUCAAGCAUGGGUUUUGUAUCAAUGGGGGAUAAAUAGAGGGUGAGUCAACCGUGUACUGCAGUUUUGCUUCAGCUUCGGCAAAGAGAUUUUUGUGACAGUAGGAGAGGUCUUCAACUAGCUCUUGGCUAACUCGGAGCAUAGGUCAGAAAUUGUUUUCCUCAGUUCUUUCCUCAUCUCCUCUGCUCUUCCCAAUUUUUCUUGAGCCCAUUCAAGUUUUUCAGUUAGAGCAUCUCCAAUGUAAAAUGCUAUAUUUCCAUGCCAAAUCGAUAUUUUGAGAGGUGCUACAGUGUCAAAAUUCUACAUUUUUGCAAUUAUGCUCCAGUCAUUUCAUUCAAAAUGCUAUUUUUUGACACAAUUAUCAUUCCAUGUUUUGAGAGCCCAUUGGAGUGCCUUAUUUUCAUUCUAGCAACUUUUGACAAUCUCAAGAUAUGAGAGGUCUUUUGAGAGAGCUCAUUGGUGUGCCUAUUUUCAUCCACUUACUAUAUUUUGGAUCAAUUUGGUCAAUAUAAGUUAACACAAAAAAAGAAUCAUGGAAAGAAAAUUAAAACAAAGAAAAAUGACUAUCUGUCAAGGUUGCUCAGAUGGA